GAUGAAGAACGUAGCGAAAUGCGAUAAGUAAUGCGAAUUGCAGAAUUUCCUUGAGUCAUCGAAUCUUUGAACGCACAUUGCGCCCACUGGUAUUCCGGUGGGCAUGCCUGUUCGAGCGUCAUUAUCCUCCCUCAAACCCCGGGUUUGGUGUUGGACCCAAGUUGUGUGAACAACUGGUCUCAAAGACAAUGACGGCGUCCGUGGGACCCUCGGUGCAACGAGCUUUUAGGAGCACGCAUCGAGUUGCAAGGACCUUCCGGGCCGGUCUCCUUUACCAUUUUACAAGGUUGACCUCGGAUCAGGUAGGAAUACCCGCUGAACUUAAGCAUAUCAAUAAGCGGAGGA
This 345-nucleotide unclassified non-coding RNA is filed under the name soil metagenome. RNAcentral's name for it is "partial contains 5.8S ribosomal RNA, internal transcribed spacer 2, and large subunit ribosomal RNA". The stretch from base 1 to 121 matches the Rfam family "5.8S ribosomal RNA", at positions 35 to 154 of the family's 154-position model. The record is from RNAcentral.